RNAcentral lists this transfer RNA (71 nucleotides) under Stegodyphus mimosarum. It matches the Rfam family "tRNA". From Rfam's summary of the family: Transfer RNA (tRNA) molecules are approximately 80 nucleotides in length. Their secondary structure includes four short double-helical elements and three loops (D, anti-codon, and T loops). The record is from Rfam by way of RNAcentral. Lineage: Eukaryota; Metazoa; Arthropoda; Arachnida; Araneae; Eresidae.
GCCUUCGUAGUGUAACGGUAGCACAUUCGGCAUGUAUUCAUGAGGUCCAGGUUCAAAUCCUAGGGAAGGCA